Molecule: ribosomal RNA, 445 nt
Filed under: uncultured bacterium
Lineage: Bacteria
Description: bacterial SSU rRNA
Rfam family: Bacterial small subunit ribosomal RNA
Source: RNAcentral
GUAAGGAAUAUUGGUCAAUGGACGAAAGUCUGAACCAGCCAUGCCGCGUGAAGGAUGAAGGCCCUCUGGGUUGUAAACUUCUUUUAUCUGGGACGAAAAAAGGGUAUUCUUACUCACUUGACGGUACCAGAGGAAUAAGCACCGGCUAACUCCGUGCCAGCAGCCGCGGUAAUACGGAGGGUGCACGCGUUAUCCGGAUUCACUGGGUUUAAAGGGUGCGUAGGUGGGUAUUUAAGUCAGUGGUGAAAUCUCCGAGCUUAACUCGGAAACUGCCAUUGAGACUAUUUACCUUGAAUGCCCUGGAGGGAAGCUGAAUAUGUCAUGUAGCGGUGAAAUGCUUAGAUAUGACAUAGAACACCAAUUGCGAAGGCAGCUUACUACGGGGUGAUUGACACUGAGGCACGAAAGCGUGGGGAGCAAACAGGAUUAGAUACCCUAGUAGUCC